RNAcentral lists this ribosomal RNA (253 nucleotides) under uncultured Sphingosinicella sp. Its description in RNAcentral is "partial 16S ribosomal RNA". It matches the Rfam family "Bacterial small subunit ribosomal RNA", at positions 524 to 776 of the family's 1533-position model. Lineage: Bacteria; Pseudomonadati; Pseudomonadota; Alphaproteobacteria; Sphingomonadales; Sphingosinicellaceae. The record is from RNAcentral.
UACGGAGGGAGCUAGCGUUGUUCGGAAUCACUGGGCGUAAAGCGCACGUAGGCGGCUUUGUAAGUUAGAGGUGAAAGCCCGGGGCUCAACUCCUGAACUGCCUUUAAGACUGCAUCGCUUGAAUCUGGGAGAGGUAAGUGGAAUUCCGAGUGUAGAGGUGAAAUUCGUAGAUAUUCGGAAGAACACCAGUGGCGAAGGCGGCUUACUGGACCAGAAUUGACGCUGAGGUGCGAAAGCGUGGGGAGCAAACAGG